RNAcentral lists this ribosomal RNA (255 nucleotides) under Klebsiella aerogenes. Its description in RNAcentral is "partial 23S ribosomal RNA". It matches the Rfam family "Bacterial large subunit ribosomal RNA", at positions 1448 to 1703 of the family's 2925-position model. The record is from RNAcentral. Lineage: Bacteria; Pseudomonadati; Pseudomonadota; Gammaproteobacteria; Enterobacterales; Enterobacteriaceae.
GUGUUACUGCGAAGGGGGGACGGAGAAGGCUAUGUUAGCCGGGCGACGGUUGUCCCGGUUUAAGCAUGUAGGCGGAGGUUCCAGGUAAAUCCGGUACCUUUUAACGCUGAGGUGUGAUGACGAGGCAUUACGGUGCUGAAGUAACAAAUGCCCUGCUUCCAGGAAAAGCCUCUAAGCAUCAGGUAACAUUGAAUCGUACCCCAAACCGACACAGGUGGUCAGGUAGAGAAUACCAAGGCGCUUGAGAGAACUCGG